GUACGGCCGCAAGGUUAAAACUCAAAUGAAUUGACGGGGGCCCGCACAAGCGGUGGAGCAUGUGGUUUAAUUCGAUGCAACGCGAAGAACCUUACCUGGUCUUGACAUCCACGGAAGUUUUCAGAGAUGAGAAUGUGCCUUCGGGAACCGUGAGACAGGUGCUGCAUGGCUGUCGUCAGCUCGUGUUGUGAAAUGUUGGGUUAAGUCCCGCAACGAGCGCAACCCUUAUCCUUUGUUGCCAGCGGUCCGGCCGGGAACUCAAAGGAGACUGCCAGUGAUAAACUGGAGGAAGGUGGGGAUGACGUCAAGUCAUCAUGGCCCUUACGACCAGGGCUACACACGUGCUACAAUGGCGCAUACAAAGAGAA
RNAcentral lists this ribosomal RNA (368 nucleotides) under Escherichia coli. RNAcentral describes it as "bacterial SSU rRNA". It matches the Rfam family "Bacterial small subunit ribosomal RNA", at positions 880 to 1248 of the family's 1533-position model. The record is from RNAcentral. Lineage: Bacteria; Pseudomonadati; Pseudomonadota; Gammaproteobacteria; Enterobacterales; Enterobacteriaceae.